CGUGGGGCCAGCAGCAGGUCACAGGGACGAGCUCGCCCUGUUCCACAUCAGCGAGACACAGCGGCAGUCACAGACGGCAGGCCAGCACUGAAGGCAGAACAGACAGGUGCCUGGGCGGGUAACUUGCUGUUCACUGUGCGAACCUAGGGUGAGACUCGGGUAGUUCUGGCUUGCAGAUAUGAUGGGGUUAUUCCUAGUGUAAGAGAAAAAAUUACCCAAAUCAAAUAGAUUAAAAACCAUGUUGGCUCAUGCCAGGAAAGCCAUUAAUAUAACUAAAUGCUGUUGACAGGGAAAAAGAUAAAAAUCACAUGUCAAAGCCGGGGAGGGGAGGAUUUGAUUAAAGAUGGCCUAACUGAUUCAGCAGCAGCAAUUAAGGUAGCUCUUCAAGUGGUGCAGCUCACCCUGCCAGGAGGCCAGGAGGGAGGCAGCGGGUCUGGCUCGUCGCUCGCACCAGCGUUACACUGCUGACACAGCUCCACGAAGAGCAGAGCAGAAUCGGGCCCGAACCGCCUGUGGCAACGUUACAGGAUCAGAUAAGACACCUCAGGAAUGCAGCAACCAACCAAGCUCCAAUGGUCCUGUCCCCAGCAUAAAAGCCAGACCAGAUUUUAGGAAAAUGCAUCAGAGGAACAAAAUGAAUCACAACACUUUGCAAGACAACCUAUCUCAUACCGGUGGAUGAGGCCUCGCCAGCUGAAUGUCAGUCUCAUGAUUAAAAGAAGCAAUUUUCAGCCAGCACACAGGCACGCCUUCCACCUGAGAAAGACCCAAGGAAAUAGAAGGAAAGAAACAGAAGUAUCAGAAACACCACUUCUGGAACCAGGAAAGGAUGCUGUCUAGAAGCUCUGAUACCUGCCCAGCUGCUUGUGAUUCUGCAGCACUCCCCCAGGAACUCGAACACAGAGUAAUGACUGGCGGUCUCUAGAGAAAAGCUUCACUCAAACAAAAUGCAUUGGCUUAAGAGGGAUAAACGAUGAAGCUCUACAGCCCGUGCUGCCACACAGGAGCUCAGAUAAAAUGAUACGAUGACAUACAGCGGUCAUAAAAUCUGAGGUCUUAUCAGUCCAACUUGGUUAGGUCUCUGAAUAAGCCUAGCAUCACUGUUGAGUCCAACUUGCACAGCUUUCCUUGUUCAGGCACAGGGAAAACAAGGUGGUAUGUAUAAAGCCUCACUCAUGCCAAUAAAAAUGUACUACA
This is a long non-coding RNA of Cygnus olor (mute swan), 1197 nucleotides long. RefSeq lists it as uncharacterized. Lineage: Eukaryota; Metazoa; Chordata; Aves; Anseriformes; Anatidae. The record is from RefSeq and is a predicted model, not a curated record. The transcript has 4 exons.